This 506-nucleotide ribosomal RNA is filed under the name uncultured bacterium. RNAcentral's name for it is "partial 16S ribosomal RNA". It matches the Rfam family "Bacterial small subunit ribosomal RNA", at positions 30 to 523 of the family's 1533-position model. The record is from RNAcentral.
AUUGAACGCUGGCGGCAGGCUUAACACAUGCAAGUCGAGCGGUAACAGAGAGAAGCUUGCUUCUCUGCUGACGAGCGGCGGACGGGUGAGUAAUGCCUAGGAAUCUGCCUAGUAGUGGGGGAUAACUUGCCGAAAGGUAAGCUAAUACCGCAUACGUCCUACGGGAGAAAGGAGGGGACCUUCGGGCCUUUCGCUAUUAGAUGAGCCUAGGUCGGAUUAGUUAGUUGGUGAGGUAAUGGCUUACCAAGACCGCGAUCCGUAACUGGUCUGAGAGGAUGGUCAGACACAAGGGAAAUGAGACACGGUCCAGACUCCUACGGGAGGCAGCAGUGGGGAAUAUUGGACAAUGGGGGGAACCCUGAUCCAGCCAUGCCGCGUGUGUGAAGAAGGUCUUAGGAUUGUAAAGCACUUUAAGUUGGGAGGAAGAGCAGUUAACUAAUAUUUGACUGUUUUGACGUUACCGACAGAAUAAGCACCGGCUAACUUCGUGCCAGCCGCCGCCGUAA